GUCUCUGGCCAUGCCAUCCUGAACAAGUCUGAUGUCUGUUCUUGGAAGUUUAGCAGGGUUGGGCCUGGUUAGUACUUGGAUGGGAGACCACCUAGGAAGACCAGGUGCUGUAGGCA
RNAcentral lists this ribosomal RNA (116 nucleotides) under Pteropus alecto (black flying fox). The record is from RNAcentral. Lineage: Eukaryota; Metazoa; Chordata; Mammalia; Chiroptera; Pteropodidae.